This 468-nucleotide ribosomal RNA is filed under the name uncultured bacterium. RNAcentral's name for it is "partial 16S ribosomal RNA". It matches the Rfam family "Bacterial small subunit ribosomal RNA", at positions 28 to 507 of the family's 1533-position model. The record is from RNAcentral.
GAUGAACGCUGGCGGCGUGCUUAACACAUGCAAGUCGAACGGUGAAGGCGGAGCUUGCUCUGCUGGAUCAGUGGCGAACGGGUGAGUAACACGUGAGCAAUCUGCCCCUGACUCUGGGAUAAGCGCUGGAAACGGCGUCUAAUACUGGAUACGAGCUGCGAAGGCAUCUUCAGCAGCUGGAAAGAAUUUCGGUCAGGGAUGAGCUCGCGGCCUAUCAGCUUGUUGGUGAGGUAAUGGCUCACCAAGGCGUCGACGGGUAGCCGGCCUGAGAGGGUGACCGGCCACACUGGGACUGAGACACGGCCCAGACUCCUACGGGAGGCAGCAGGGGGGAAUAUUGCACAAUGGGCGAAAGCCUGAUGCAGCAACGCCGGGUGAGGGACGACGGCCUUCGGGUUGUAAACCUCUUUGAGCAGGGAAGAAGCGAAAGUGACGGUACCUGCAGAAAAAGCGCCGGCUAACUACGUG